ACAACUAUAAUGGUGAGAAGUAGUGAGAAUUAUCUGCAUAAUGGAGAAGAGCAGUGAAAGUAACUUCUUUAGUACUACAAAAUAAUAUUUCAUAACUAUCAAAUAUUGUCCCAACAAACCAUUUUCAUUCAAAAUUUGGCAAUAGCACCAAAAAAUCCGCAGAGGGCAAAGCGGAGCGGCCUUCCCUUACAAAAGAGCAACAUUUCUAGUUCGUAGCAGAGUGUAGAGCUAGGCCGAAAAUAGAGAAGAAUUUCAAUAUCUACAGAAAUGGACGAUUACACAAGAGAAAUGAUGGACCUCAAAACCCUAGUCACUCGAACCCUAGAGAAGAAAGGCGUCCUCGCCAAGAUCCGAGCCGAACUUCGAGCGAGCGUUUUCGAGGCAAUUGAAGAGGAGGAUAAGGUAAUUGAGAAGGAUGAAGGCUUGCCCCCUGCACUAUUGGGUAGCUGCAAUGAUCAGGCAAAACACCUCCAUAAUUCACCUUCAGGAGGGCUACUAACUGCACUUAUAUGUGAAUAUUUGGAUUGGGCUCAAUUAAACCAUUCACUUAAAGUUUAUUUGCCAGAGUGUAAUUUGCCAAAGGAUUCAUGGAAAUCUGAGCUAAAAGAAUUUAGCAGCAAGAAUGGAUAUGAUCUUAACAGAAAUGGUGAUAGCGCUCCCUUGCUUUUGGAUGUUCUUGAAGGAUUCUUGAAAUAUGAGAAUUUAUCUCAAGCAAUGGGGGCUGGAAGGAGAUUUACUGCACCAGAUGCUGGAUCUCUUUCCAAUACUGAAGCUAGGAAUAUUAGGAAGCCUUCUUCAUCUUCAGUUGCUGGAGGCUUACCUCCAUUGGGAAGGCCAGGUCCUGCUGCCCAGUCGUCUGAAGGGCAGGUUCAUCUAUAUCUGGAUAUAGGAAAGAUGAAUACAACUGGAGAUACGAAAAUGAUGAGCUUCCGCAGGAUGUAAUGCUUGCCUCAUCUGCCUUAGAAAACCUUCAAUUGGACAGAAAAGCUUGGAACCUUACCUCUUCAUGGCGGCACAGAGGUGAUGACAUGUCUGAGGAUGAUAGCAGGGGAGAAUAGAUGAUAUGUGGUCUCCAAAUCACCGAGAUGGAAAUUGAUGAUAUCCUUCUAACUUAGAAAUGCAAUGUUCUGAUGUAUGCUGUGUACGAUUUAAAUACUAUAUUGCUUGUAGUAAUUGGUGUGAGCUUCUCAUUUUCUUUUCUUUUUUCCUGUAUCAUUUAUCAUUUUCCCCCCUGUAUUGCGAAAUCCCCUCUGUGGCUAAGCAGCCGCGCUUUAAGGAUUUUUCUUAUCAUAUGACGGUUGCUCUUGAGUUGGAUGCCCGGCGUGAUUACU
Molecule: RNA transcript, 1331 nt
Organism: Nicotiana attenuata
Lineage: Eukaryota; Viridiplantae; Streptophyta; Magnoliopsida; Solanales; Solanaceae
Gene name: protein TONNEAU 1a-like
Exons: 8
Source: RefSeq, a predicted model, not a curated record